RNAcentral lists this ribosomal RNA (433 nucleotides) under uncultured bacterium. Its description in RNAcentral is "partial 16S ribosomal RNA". It matches the Rfam family "Bacterial small subunit ribosomal RNA", at positions 29 to 507 of the family's 1533-position model. The record is from RNAcentral.
AACGAACGCUGGCGGCAUGCCUAACACAUGCAAGUCGAACGAGACCUUCGGGUCUAGUGGCGCACGGGUGCGUAACGCGUGGGAACCUGCCCUUAGGUUCGGAAUAACUCCCCGAAAGGGGUGCUAAUACCGGAUAAUGUCUUCGGACCAAAGAUUUAUCGCCUUUGGAUGGGCCCGCGUUGGAUUAGCUAGUUGGUAGGGUAAAAGCCUACCAAGGCGACGAUCCAUAGCUGGUCUGAGAGGAUGAGCAGCCACACUGGGACUGAGACACGGCCCAGACUCCUACGGGAGGCAGCAGUGGGGGAUAUUGGACAAUGGGCGAAAGCCUGAUCCAGCAAUGCCGCGUGAGUGAUGAAGGCCUUAGGGUUGUAAAGCUCUUUUACCCGGGAUGAUAAUGACAGUACCGGGAGAAUAAGCUCCGGCUAACUCCGUG